GAUGGGCCUGCGUCUGAUUAGCUAGUUGGUAAGGUAACGGCUUACCAAGGCGACGAUCAGUAGCCGACCUGAGAGGGUGACCGGCCACAUUGGAACUGAGACACGGUCCAAACUCCUACGGGAGGCAGCAGUGGGGAAUAUUGCACAAUGGGCGAAAGCCUGAUGCAGCAACGCCGCGUGAAGGAAGAAGGCCUUCGGGUCGUAAACUUCUGUCCUUGGGGAAGAAGAACUGACGGUACCCAAGGAGGAAGCCCCGGCUAACUACGUGCCAGCAGCCGCGGUAAUACGUAGGGGGCAAGCGUUAUCCGGAAUUAUUGGGCGUAAAGAGUACGUAGGUGGCAACCUAAGCGCAGGGUUUAAGGCAAUGGCUCAACCAUUGUUCGCCCUGCGAACUGGGAUGCUUGAGUGCAGGAGAGGAAAGCGGAAUUCCUAGUGUAGCGGUGAAAUGCGUAGAUAUUAGGAGGAACACCAGUGGCGAAGGCGGCUUUCUGGACUGUAACUGACACUGAGGUACGAAAGCGUGGGGAGCAAACAGGAUUAGAUACCCUGGUAGUCCACGCCGUAAACGA
RNAcentral lists this ribosomal RNA (569 nucleotides) under uncultured bacterium. Its description in RNAcentral is "bacterial SSU rRNA". It matches the Rfam family "Bacterial small subunit ribosomal RNA", at positions 224 to 809 of the family's 1533-position model. The record is from RNAcentral.